CCUACGGGUGACAGCAGUGGGGGAUAUUGCACAAUGGGGGGAACCCUGAUGCAGCGACGCCGCGUGGGUGAAGAAGUAUUUCGGUAUGUAAAGCUCUAUCAGCAGGGAAGAAAAUGACAGUACCUGACCAAGAAGCCCCGGCUAACUACGUGCCAGCAGCCGCGGUAAUACGUAGGGGGCAAGCGUUAUCCGGAUUUACUGGGUGUAAAGGGAGCGUAGACGGUUAUGCAAGUCUGGAGUGAAAGCCCGUGGCCCAACCCCGGGACUGCUUUGGAAACUGUGUAGCUGGAGUGCAGGAGGGGCAGGCGGAAUUCCUGGUGUAGCGGUGAAAUGCGUAGAUAUUAGGAGGAACACCGGCGGCGAAGGCGGCCUACUGGACUGAAACUGACGUUGAGGCUCGAAAGCGUGGGGAGCAAACAGGAUUAGAUACCCCUGUAGUC
RNAcentral lists this ribosomal RNA (440 nucleotides) under uncultured bacterium. RNAcentral's name for it is "partial 16S ribosomal RNA". It matches the Rfam family "Bacterial small subunit ribosomal RNA", at positions 338 to 795 of the family's 1533-position model. The record is from RNAcentral.